RNAcentral lists this ribosomal RNA (488 nucleotides) under uncultured bacterium. Its description in RNAcentral is "bacterial SSU rRNA". It matches the Rfam family "Bacterial small subunit ribosomal RNA", at positions 1 to 507 of the family's 1533-position model. The record is from RNAcentral.
AGUAGUUUGAUCAGUGGCUCGAGGACGACGCUGGCGGCGUGCUUAACACAUGCAAGUCGAACGAUGAACCAGGGCUUGCCCUGGGGAUUAGUGGCGAACGGGUGAGUAACACGUGGGCAACCUGCCCCAGACACCGGGAUAACCUCUCGAAAGAGUGGCUAAUACCGGAUAUGACCACUUCGGGCAUCCGACGGUGGUGGAAAGGAUUCUGGUCUGGGAUGGGCCCGCGGCCUAUCAGCUAGUUGGUGGGGUAAUGGCCUACCAAGGCGACGACGGGUAGCCGGCCUGAGAGGGCGACCGGCCACACUGGGACUGAGACACGGCCCAGACUCCUACGGGAGGCAGCAGUGGGGAAUAUUGCGCAAUGGGCGAAAGCCUGACGCAGCGACGCCGCGUGAGGGACGAAGGUCUUCGGAUUGUAAACCUCUUUCAGCAGGGACGAAGCGAAAGUGACUGUACCUGCAGAAGAAGCACCGGCUAACUACGUG